UGCUAUACUACACCAUGCGCCAAAGAUACGUGGAUGUUCCUCAAUCAUCUCAAUACCGCUAUCACGCGUGGUCAUGUGUUAUUAAACAUUCGUACCAUGUUAUUGGGAUUACUUAACACUGUGUUCUUUUGAAAAUUGCACAGUUUUCCUUUACUUGAUGUAAAAGGGUGGGAAGAACAGACAUACGCAAGCGCAGAACGAUGAAGAAUAUUGCGAUUGAACGGCAUAAAACAGUCAAAUUAGGGAACACACGAUAUUGUUCAGUUUCAAUCAGAUGAAAUCGAUGACGACGGAAAUAUCGGGGAAAAAACAUAUUAACAGAAACUGAGAGACAACCACACGAAAAAUAUGGCGGACGACUAUUCGAGAAAUAAAGUAUAAUAGAAGGCAGACAAAAUACAAAAAAAAAGGCAACCGUGAAAAAAAGGAAGAAGGAAUUCAUAUCAAAAUUCAUGAAUGAUCAUCUUCCAAACGCCAAAGAUAUGUCAAAAUACGAAUGGACACCGAUACCGGAUUGAAUGACGAUCCAUAUGACACCGGCGGAGGAGAAAAUAACGACUCGAAUAUAAUUGAAAUAUCCGAAUUUUACGACGACGACGGCAACGGUGAUUGCAAAAAAAGCAUUGACGGAAGAGAUACGACGUCGACGACGAUAUUAGUAUAAAGAUAACUAUAACUACGGGGACAACAACGACGAUGAUGCAAAUCGUAUUGCUCGAGGUGAAGUACCGACAAUUCGACCAAGUGUAAAGGGUGAAGAUACCACAACUAGAGUUGUAGCAUUCGCACUGAAGUUCCAAUUAUGUUUCUCAGUACUGUUCAAGUUCGUAAUGAACAGAAAAAUUUACCAAAUAUGAGAUAAAGUUUGUGAAAUUGAUUAGGGACACGGGAAGAAAUUUUCCAAAUGAAAAACGAUCGACAGUCAAAUGAACAAGGAACAGUACCGACGAUCGGAAGUGUUUGCAGAAAGUCAGGUCUAGAUAAACCUUUAAAGAAUAGUUUAUAUUUUAUAAAUCUAACUCGACAAUUGAAUAGCAUAUCAAGAGACUCGGUAGAGUCUCGGGACAAGUACAUUGACAGCCCUGUCGUCUGCUGGCCCGAGCUCGCCGAGACUAUCUUUUCUCUGAAUAAAACGAUUCGCGGUGGUGGGGGU
Venturia canescens is the source of this 1153-nucleotide long non-coding RNA. RefSeq lists it as uncharacterized. Lineage: Eukaryota; Metazoa; Arthropoda; Insecta; Hymenoptera; Ichneumonidae. The record is from RefSeq and is a predicted model, not a curated record. The transcript has 4 exons.